RNAcentral lists this transfer RNA (110 nucleotides) under Fonsecaea erecta. It matches the Rfam family "tRNA". Rfam says of the family: Transfer RNA (tRNA) molecules are approximately 80 nucleotides in length. Their secondary structure includes four short double-helical elements and three loops (D, anti-codon, and T loops). The record is from Rfam by way of RNAcentral. Lineage: Eukaryota; Fungi; Ascomycota; Eurotiomycetes; Chaetothyriales; Herpotrichiellaceae.
GAGAGAUUGGCCGAGUGGUUCAAGGCGGUAGAUUUAAGUUUACACACCCCGAAAGCUUGAAAUCCUCUACUUUCCGAAAGGAAGCGUGGGUUCGAACCCCACAUCUCUCA